UACGGAGGGGGCUAGCGUUGUUCGGAAUUACUGGGCGUAAAGCGUACGUAGGCGGCUUUGUAAGUUAGAGGUGAAAGCCCGGGGCUCAACUCCGGAAUUGCCUUUAAGACUGCAUCGCUUGAAUCAUGGAGAGGUUAGUGGAAUUCCGAGUGUAGAGGUGAAAUUCGUAGAUAUUCGGAAGAACACCAGUGGCGAAGGCGGCUCACUGGCCCCGGGUACUGACGCUGAGGUGCGAAAGCGUGGGGAGCAAACAGG
This 255-nucleotide ribosomal RNA is filed under the name uncultured bacterium. RNAcentral's name for it is "partial 16S ribosomal RNA". It matches the Rfam family "Bacterial small subunit ribosomal RNA", at positions 524 to 776 of the family's 1533-position model. The record is from RNAcentral.